Rosa chinensis is the source of this 1687-nucleotide long non-coding RNA. RefSeq lists it as uncharacterized. NCBI's taxonomy places the organism in Eukaryota, Viridiplantae, Streptophyta, Magnoliopsida, Rosales, Rosaceae. The transcript is spliced from 7 exons. The record is from RefSeq and is a predicted model, not a curated record.
UCCAGAUUGAUGUUUCCUGCUAAAAAUAUCUGCUUUUCUCCUCUUUGUCGGAUUCUAGACUCAUCAAAGUUCUCUGGCUAUUUACACUUAUACCAUCUACUCUAAUCCUAUAAAGCGUGCCAAUGACUCAAUAGCUUCUUCGGGAAGGUGUCCUUAAACCGACGGCAGUUGCUGCACUGUUUCAGAUCUGCAAUCAACAUCAGCUUUUACAAAAAUCGGGUCGGUUAAAAAUGAUCAUAAAGACUUAAGGAGAUCAAUCAGGGGAAUUUUGACAGUAAAUACAGUAUACUGUGGCCCACUGGUCAAGUCUCUAUCAGCAAACAUAACAACUGCAAUUCGACCCACCUGCUCUCCUGCAAAAGAUGGUAAUGAACAAGGUAGUACUUGGAUUUUUGUCUUAUCCCAAAAUCACUCAUCAAGGACACCAGGUAGGUUGAUAGUGGCUUCCAGGUAUUCGACAUGUUUAAUUUUGAUAAGAAGAUAGGUCACCAAUAUGUUUACUUUGACAGCUCAAGAGGAAGAAGGUCAACAGAACAAGAAACGGUUAUUGGUGAUUGCUCUGAUCACAAUUCCUAUGAUUAUGAUCCUACUGAGAACAAUGAUGUAUUUUCUAAAAAGGAAAGUAGUCAAGUCAAUUGGUAAUCUUCUUAAACUGUUAAUAUAUAUAUAUUUUUUUACUUUAGUUCUUUCACUAAACCUUAGGAGAAGAAUCUAAUGCAAUUUGACCCACCUGCUCUCCUGCAAAAGAUGGUAAUCAACAAGGUAGUACUUGGAUUUUUGUCUUAUCCCAAAAUCACUCAUCAAGGACACCAGGUAGGUUGAUAGUGGCUUCCAGGUAUUCGACAUGUUUAAUUUUGAUAAGAAGAUAGGUCACCAAUAUGUUUACUUUGACAGCUCAAGAGGAAGAAGGUCAACAGAACAAGAAACGGUUAUUGGUGAUUGCUCUGAUCACAAUUCCUAUGAUUAUGAUCCUACUGAGAACAAUGAUGUAUUUUCUAAAAAGGAGAGUAGUCAAGUCAAUUGGAAGGAUGAGACCUGGGUGAGCCAGAUAGAAUUGUCAGGAAACUGUCGCAGCCUAGGGUCUAUGUGAAAUUGAUUAAUGUGGGUCUUGAGGUGGCCUUCAUCCCUAUUCAACUGAAGCCCCUCAGUUCAAUUCAGAGUUUUCAUGCAGAUCGGGAAGAAAGACAUCCAAGAUUUCAGAACCAACCCAUCUUUUUGAACGAAGUUUACGAAAGAGCUUUUCAGUAAGAAUAAUAAAUGACCAUGAAGAUUCUUUGACAUGAAGCAUGGACUAUUGUACCUGCGUUCAUUUAUAUGCAUCAUAUCUCGAAGAACGCCUGGACUGUUUUUCUAUCCUGAAGUACGAUGUUCAGAAAGAUCACUUGGUUGCAGGUAAAAUUGCCAAGUUGUAUGCUGCAAUUACAAAUGGUAUCGUCAAUUUAGUUAACAAUGCAGGCCUUGGUUUUCUUUGUGCACAAUGAUGGGCAGCUGCUACAAUUAAUGAUGGGCAAUACUUGAUUUUGUCAUAGAAUUGUUUGAUAGAAUGUUAUUGUAAACUGUGAUAAUGUAACCCAACAAUUUUAGACAGAUGAAAGUUUUGCUCAUUUUAUCAUUCUGUCAUUAUUGUAAAUUAUUAGCAACAACAAACCCCGCAGCAAAGCGCGGGCACUAUUGCUAGUGUUGACAA